UUGGGUAGGGGAGCAUUGUAUAAGGGUUGAAGCUGUACCGUAAGGAGCGGUGGACUUUAUACAAGAGAGAAUGUUGGCAUAAGUAGCGAGAGGUAGGUGAGAAUCCUACCCGCCGAAAACCUAAGGUUUCCUGAGGAAGGCUCGUCCGCUCAGGGUAAGUCGGGACCUAAGCCGAGGACGAAAGUCGUAGGCGAUGGACAACAGGUGAAGAUUCCUGUACCACCACUUUAUCGUUUGAGGAAUGGAGGGACGCAGGAGGAUAGGCAAAGCCCACGGUUGGUUGAGUGGGUCCAAGCCCGUAGGGAGUAGAGAUAGGCAAAUCCGUCUCUGCAAUCCUGAAAGGUGAUGGGGAGCGAAAAAUAAGUAGCGAACUUGCUGAUUCCACACUGACAAGAAAAGCUUCUACCGAGAUAAAAGGUGCCCGUACCGCAAACCGACACAGGUAGGUGAGGAGAGAAUCCUAAGGCGAGCGAGAUAACUACUGUUAAGGAACUCGGCAAAAUGACCCCGUAACUUAGGGAGAAGGGGUGCCACGUUAGGGUUAAUAGCCCGAGGUGGCCGCAGAGAAUAGGCCCAAGCGACUGUUUAGCAAAAACACAGGUCUCUGCUAAAUCGAAAGAUGAUGUAUAGGGGCUGACGCCUGCCCGGUGCUGGAAGGUUAAGGGAAGUGGUUAGCGUAAGCGAAGCUGUGAACCGAAGCCCCAGUAAACGGCGGCCGUAACUAUAACGGUCCUAAGGUAGCGAAAUUCCUUGUCGGGUAAGUUCCGACCCGCACGAAAGGCGUAACGAUUUGGGCACUGUCUCAACAGUAGGCUCGGUGAAAUUGUAGUACCGGUAAAGAUGCCGGUUACCCGCAGCAGGACGGAAAGACCCCGUGGAGCUUUACUGUAGCUUGGCACUGGAUUUUGGUAUUGCAUGUACAGGAUAGGUGGGAGACUUAGAAGCAUGGACGCCAGUUUGUGCGGAGUCAUUGUUGGGAUACCACUCUUGUAAUACUGAAGUUCUAACCAGAGACCGUUAUCCGGUCUUGGGACACUGUCAGGUGGGCAGUUUGACUGGGGCGGUCGCCUCCCAAAAAGUAACGGAGGCGCCCAAAGGUUCCCUCAGCGCGGUUGGAAAUCGCGCGAAGAGUGCAAAGGCAGAAGGGAGCUUGAUUGCGAGACAUACAGGUCGAGCAAGGACGAAAGUCGGGCUUAGUGAUCCGGUGGUUCCGAGUGGAAGGGCCAUCGCUCAACGGAUAAAAGCUACCCCGGGGAUAACAGGCUUAUCUCCCCCAAGAGUCCACAUCGACGGGGAGGUUUGGCACCUCGAUGUCGGCUCGUCUCAUCCUGGGGCUGUAGUAGGUCCCAAGGGUUGGGCUGUUCGCCCAUUAAAGAGGCACGCGAGCUGGGUUCAGAACGUCGUGAGACAGUUCGGUCCCUAUCCGCUGUGGGCGCAGGAAAUUUGAGAGGAGCUGUCCUUAGUACGAGAGGACCGGGAUGGACGUACCUCUGGUGCAUCAGUUGUUCCGCCAGGAGCACUGCUGAGUAGCUACGUACGGAAGGGAUAAGCGCUGAAGGCAUCUAAGCGCGAAGCCCACCUUAAGAUAAGAUUUCCCAUCCAUUUAUGGAUUAAGACCCCAGAAAGACUAUCUGGUUGAUAGGCCUAAGGUGUAAGGGCAGUAAUGUCUUUAGCUGAUAGGUACUAAUAGGUCGAGGACUUGACCAU
This 1707-nucleotide ribosomal RNA is filed under the name bioreactor metagenome. Its description in RNAcentral is "bacterial LSU rRNA". It matches the Rfam family "Bacterial large subunit ribosomal RNA", at positions 1224 to 2925 of the family's 2925-position model. The record is from RNAcentral.